CCUACGGGAGGCAGCAGUGAGGAAUAUUGGACAAUGGGCGCAAGCCUGAUCCAGCCAUGCCGCGUGCAGGAUGACGGUCCUAUGGAUUGUAAACUGCUUUUAUACGAGAAGAAACACUCCUUCGUGAAGGAGCUUGACGGUAUCGUAAGAAUAAGGAUCGGCUAACUCCGUGCCAGCAGCCGCGGUAAUACGGAGGAUCCAAGCGUUAUCCGGAAUCAUUGGGUUUAAAGGGUCCGUAGGCGGUUUAAUAAGUCAGUGGUGAAAGCCCAUCGCUCAACGGUGGAACGGCCAUUGAUACUGUUAAACUUGAAUUAUUAGGAAGUAACUAGAAUAUGUAGUGUAGCGGUGAAAUGCUUAGAGAUUACAUGGAAUACCAAUUGCGAAGGCAGGUUACUACUAAUGGAUUGACGCUGAUGGACGAAAGCGUGGGUAGCGAACAGGAUUAGAUACCCUGGUAGUCCACGCCGUAAACGAUGGAUACUAGCUGUUGGAAGCAAUUUCAGUGGCUAAGCGAAAGUGAUAAGUAUCCCCACCUGGAGGUACGUUCGCGAGAAGAGAACGUUAAAUAGUAAGUUAGUACGGACGUGAGACGUAGACCGAACGGACGACGACGAGGGAGGAGGG
Molecule: ribosomal RNA, 624 nt
Filed under: uncultured bacterium
Lineage: Bacteria
Description: bacterial SSU rRNA
Rfam family: Bacterial small subunit ribosomal RNA (bases 1-534)
Source: RNAcentral